UUUAAAUUGAGAGUUUGAUCCUGGCUCAGGAUGAACGCUGGCGGCGUGCUUAACACAUGCAAGUCGAGCGAUGAAGUUUCCUUCGGGAAACGGAUUAGCGGCGGACGGGUGAGUAACACGUGGGUAACCUGCCUCAUAGAGUGGAAUAGCCUUCCGAAAGGAAGAUUAAUACCGCAUAAUGUUGAAAGAUGGCAUCAUCAUUCAACCAAAGGAGCAAUCUGCUAUGAGAUGGACCCGCGGCGCAUUAGCUAGUUGGUGGGGUAACGGCCUACCAAGGCGACGAUGCGUAGCCGACCUGAGAGGGUGAUCGGCCACAUUGGGACUGAGACACGGCCCAGACUCCUACGGGAGGCAGCAGUGGGGAAUAUUGCACAAUGGGGGAAACCCUGAUGCAGCAACGCCGCGUGAGUGAUGAAGGUUUUCGGAUCGUAAAGCUCUGUCUUUGGGGAAGAUAAUGACGGUACCCAAGGAGGAAGCCACGGCUAACUACGUGCCAGCAGCCGCGGUAAUACGUAGGUG
This 519-nucleotide ribosomal RNA is filed under the name Clostridium perfringens. Its description in RNAcentral is "bacterial SSU rRNA". It matches the Rfam family "Bacterial small subunit ribosomal RNA", at positions 1 to 533 of the family's 1533-position model. The record is from RNAcentral. Lineage: Bacteria; Bacillati; Bacillota; Clostridia; Eubacteriales; Clostridiaceae.